GUGUCAGCCGCCGCGGUAAUACGUAGGUGGCAAGCGUUGUCCGGAUUUAUUGGGUUUAAAGGGUGCGUAGGCGGCCCUGUAAGUCAGUGGUGAAAUACUCCAGCUUAACUGGAGGGGUGCCAUUGAUACUGCAGGGCUUGAGUGGAGUCGAAGUAGGCGGAAUUGACGGUGUAGCGGUGAAAUGCUUAGAUAUCGUCAAGAACACCGAUAGUGAAGACAGCUUACUAGGCUUCUACUGACGCUGAGGCACGAAAGUGUGGGGAUCAAACAGGAUUAGAUACCCCCGUAGUCC
This 292-nucleotide ribosomal RNA is filed under the name uncultured bacterium. RNAcentral describes it as "partial 16S ribosomal RNA". It matches the Rfam family "Bacterial small subunit ribosomal RNA", at positions 505 to 796 of the family's 1533-position model. The record is from RNAcentral.